Molecule: ribosomal RNA, 224 nt
Filed under: uncultured bacterium
Lineage: Bacteria
Description: partial 16S ribosomal RNA
Rfam family: Bacterial small subunit ribosomal RNA
Source: RNAcentral
UGGCGUACGGGUGAGUAACACGUGACUAACCUACCCUCGAGUGGGGAAUAACCUCGGGAAACCGGGGCUAAUACCGCAUAACAUCUACGGAUCAAAUGCGUAAGCAGCUUGAGGAGGGGGUCGCGGCUGAUUAGCUAGUUGGUGAGGUAAUGGCUCACCAAGGCAAUGAUCAGUAGCCGGCCUGAGAGGGCGCACGGCCACACUGGAACUGAAACACGGUCCAG